AGUUCUGUAUUCAAUAAUGAUUUUAAAUUGCAAAUUUAAAGGUGAAUAUUAAAAUUCCUGAACUU
RNAcentral lists this transfer RNA (65 nucleotides) under Ascalohybris subjacens. Its description in RNAcentral is "tRNA-Cys". Lineage: Eukaryota; Metazoa; Arthropoda; Insecta; Neuroptera; Myrmeleontidae. The record is from RNAcentral.